UCUCCGUUGGUGAACCAGCGGAGGGAUCAUUACAGGACUCGCAAGACUCCUACAACCCUGUGAACUUAACUAUAAGCACGUUGCUUCGGCGGGUGUCUCGGAGGGGGUUCUCCCUCCCCGAGACGCUAAACCCGCCGGCAGCCUACUAUACUCUGUCUCUAUGCGUUGGCAUCUCGAGUACAAUCAAACAAGUUAAAACUUUCAACAACGGAUCUCUUGGUUCUG
This 225-nucleotide unclassified non-coding RNA is filed under the name plant metagenome. Its description in RNAcentral is "partial contains small subunit ribosomal RNA, internal transcribed spacer 1, and 5.8S ribosomal RNA". The record is from RNAcentral.